UUGAGAUCGGAGUGCUUGCACUCUGUGAAACAAGAUACAGGCUAGCGGCGGACGGGUGAGUAACACGUGGGUAACCUGCCCAAGAGAUCGGGAUAACACCUGGAAACAGAUGCUAAUACCGGAUAACAACAGAUGAUGCCUAUCAACUGUUUAAAAGAUGGUUCUGCUAUCACUCUUGGAUGGACCUGCGGUGCAUUAGCUAGUUGGUAGGGUAACGGCCUACCAAGGCGAUGAUGCAUAGCCGAGUUGAGAGACUGAUCGGCCACAUUGGGACUGAGACACGGCCCAAACUCCUACGGGAGGCAGCAGUAGGGAAUCUUCCACAAUGGACGCAAGUCUGAUGGAGCAACGCCGCGUGAGUGAAGAAGGGUUUCGGCUCGUAAAGCUCUGUUGUUGGUGAAGAAGGACAGGGGUAGUAACUGACCUUUGUUUGACGGUAAUCAAUUAGAAAGUCACGGCUAACUACGUGCCAGCAGCCGCGGUAAUACGUAGGUGGCAAGCGUUGUCCGGAUUUAUUGGGCGUAAAGCGAGUGCAGGCGGCUCGAUAAGUCUGAUGUGAAAGCCUUCGGCUCAACCGGAGAAUUGCAUCAGAAACUGUCGAGCUUGAGUACAGAAGAGGAGAGUGGAACUCCAUGUGUAGCGGUGAAAUGCGUAGAUAUAUGGAAGAACACCGGUGUCGAAGGCGGCUCUCUGGUCUGUUACUGAC
Molecule: ribosomal RNA, 706 nt
Filed under: uncultured bacterium
Lineage: Bacteria
Description: bacterial SSU rRNA
Rfam family: Bacterial small subunit ribosomal RNA
Source: RNAcentral